UUCUGCAUGGUGAAUGCCUUUUAAGGAGUGAACCUAUUUUUUUUCCUAGAUUUGCUUGGCUUUUGAACAAAAUCUAUCCCAAACCUGUAGACCAUCCCUUUAAAUCUUGGAGCAAGAGAAGAGUGACUGUAUUCUAAUUGAGAGCACAUUACAAGAAAGAAAGGACCUGUGCAAAUAUGAACUGAAGGUUUAAUACAAGCCAAGGCAUGGUCGCCUGUUCUUUACUUAAGGACAUAAACUAUAUAAAGCUAUUGGUGAAAGAAUGUUUGUGUAUGCACAUGUGGGUGUGAAUGUGGUUCAUGCUGAUAACCCAAGUAGAUGGAUUAGUUUUUUUGGUCUAGUUCCUGUGCAAUUUGCUGCUCCCUUUUGUGAUGAAUCCAUCAAUAAAAGCAACUUAUUGUAGAUUUGUAGUAGAACUGCAGUAGAUGAGGUGAUGCUUUGGAG
RNAcentral lists this unclassified non-coding RNA (444 nucleotides) under Hevea brasiliensis (rubber tree). Lineage: Eukaryota; Viridiplantae; Streptophyta; Magnoliopsida; Malpighiales; Euphorbiaceae. The record is from RNAcentral.